CGGAACGGGUGAGUAACGCGUGAGGAAUCUGCCUCAAAGGGGGGGACAACAGUUGGAAACGACUGCUAAUACCGCAUAAGCCCACGGCUCGGCAUCGAGCAGGGGGAAAAGGAGCAAUCCGCUUUGAGAUGGCCUCGCGUCCGAUUAGCUAGUUGGUGAGGUAACGGCCCACCAAGGCGACGAUCGGUAGCCGGACUGAGAGGUUGAACGGCCACAUUGGGACUGAGACACGGCCCAG
Molecule: ribosomal RNA, 238 nt
Filed under: uncultured bacterium
Lineage: Bacteria
Description: partial 16S ribosomal RNA
Rfam family: Bacterial small subunit ribosomal RNA
Source: RNAcentral